This 344-nucleotide long non-coding RNA is filed under the name Elaeis guineensis (African oil palm). Its description in RNAcentral is "long non-coding RNA (EGUI_LNC068972)". Lineage: Eukaryota; Viridiplantae; Streptophyta; Magnoliopsida; Arecales; Arecaceae. The record is from RNAcentral.
GCAUAGCGAUAAGAUUGCUCCAUUAUGACAUGAAAGUCAGAGGUUUGAAAUACAUAAAUGACCCCUCCAUAUAUAGAGAAAAGGCUGUUCAUAUCUGAGGCUUUCUCCACAAUAGCAGGAGCCUUGUGCAUUAGGUCGCCUAUAUACAUACGCAGAAACAAUGACCAUUUAAUAUUUUAUAUUAGUAUAAUAAUAUAUAGGUAAAAUAAAAUUUUUUAAACUCAGCAGCGCUUUUUCCUGUAGUUGAGUCAGAUACCUAAACAUGUGUCCACAUGUGAUAUCCUCAUGUUCCUUGCCACGCAAUAUAUUGGAAAGUGUUUGGUUGAUAUUGAAUUAGGAUGGAU